Molecule: ribosomal RNA, 711 nt
Filed under: uncultured Neocallimastigales
Lineage: Eukaryota; Fungi; Neocallimastigomycota; Neocallimastigomycetes; Neocallimastigales
Description: partial large subunit ribosomal RNA
Source: RNAcentral
UAUCUCUGUAGAGUCUGCAUAUCAAUAAGCGGAGGAAAAGGAGGAGGCUCGCCGUUUCAUCAGGCAAUAUCUCGAUUCCGAUCCGUCCGCGUACCCGAUCACCAGCCUGACAAUUCGGUGACAUGUCCGCUGCAAUCGCCAAACAGUGUCAAGGAGCGACCCAAUGAAAAGAACGAUUUCCAAUGUGCUUGCGAUUUCCGCCGCAGCAUUCGCCUCUGGUCCGCUGACCGCCGCAACCUGGCUGUACUGGAACGGGGGUGAUGGAAAAUGGAGUGAAUCAUCAAGCUGGAGAGGUGGAGCGUCCGCGCCGCUGGAGGGCGACAAUGCCGUCGUGUUUGAGGACGGCGCGAGUUCGGUGGUCGACAUCGACACCGCCGUGAAAAUCAACAAUUGGGUUUUCAGGGCCUCCGGCGGAAGCUAUCCGGAUGCGGUGUUUUCGUGGACAGGCGUCGGCUCGCUCACGAGCACCUCCCAGUCGGCCUGUUCAUUGGGUGAGGGGCGCAGACUCACAAUGGACGGACCUCGCGUCCAUGUGGAAAGGCAGUUGCUCGUCGAUACCAAUGCGGUUCUCGUCGUGCGUUCCGGACAUUUGACCUCGUCCACGUCCUCGGAUGCGGCAAGCCCCAUUGAAGUGCGAAAAGGCGGCGUGUUCAGUGUUUCGGGCGGUUCGGUCGAUACCUACGCUAGGAUGUUGACUGAUAUGUAGUCGUA